Molecule: long non-coding RNA, 1015 nt
Filed under: Apteryx haastii (Great spotted kiwi)
Lineage: Eukaryota; Metazoa; Chordata; Aves; Apterygiformes; Apterygidae
Description: lncRNA (ENSAHAG00000004618.1)
Source: RNAcentral
CCGAGCCGGGCACGGCGGCGGGCGGGGAGGAGCGGGUGAGCCCGCCCCGAGGGGUCCGGGGGACGCCGGGGGCCGGGCGGGCUGCGAGGGCGGGGGGCGGACGGGACGGGACCGUGUCUCUUCCCCGCACCGCCGGGCCGGCGACACGGAGGCUCCCGGCUCGCUGCCGCCCCGCCAUGGCUCCCAGCUCCGAGCGGCUCUUCGACUCCCUGGGACACUUCGGCAGGGUCUUGGGAUGUGCAUGAACAACCAUAAGAAGGUAACAGCUUCUGUUUCCUGUGCCUGUUAAAGGAAGAUUUUACACCUGUCUUUGAAUUUGGGCAUGUGGAGCAUCUGUGGCCCAUAAAUUCAGGAAGAAUGUUUUUAAACAUUGCUCUUGAGUCUGAAAUCACUGCUUGCUAUUGUAGAGGUGAAGGAAAAAAAGUCCUGUCUGCCUCAAAAGGCCUCACGUUUAAUGACUUGACAGGCCACUAAAAGCUCCCAACUUGCCUGCCUCAGACUGCAUCCUUCCUCUCUACAGCAGUUCCUGCCAGACCCUGCCCAUGGGCUCUUGCUUCCUGCGCCCCCUUUCUGCCCAACCACUCCAAUUGCAAUGACUCACUCAUAUGCGUAUCAGGUAAAGAGCAGGCAUGUGGUCAGCCACCUGCUGCCAUGGACAGCCAGCAUACUAGGAAAGGGGAAAAAUGACUGGCGGGCUUAAGGUCAGCAGCAGAGCUCACCUGUGUCCUGGCAGAUCUGUAUGCCAGCGGAGGCAGCGUGUGCUAUUUGGCCUGCACCAUGUGCACAUCUCCUGUACCUGCUGGCUUUUGGCUGCCCAGCCAGCAUGUGCAACUAUUCAGGUUGGGAAGCACACCUUAGGACCUGGCUGGCUGGCUCACACUGCCUUACAUCUAGUUCCCAGCUCACAGCUCUUGUUGCGAUCAGAUUACGUCUUCUGCAAAUCGUGGUGUGUACAUGAUACUUCCAGGAAUGCUUGGAUUUGUAUCAAAUGACAAAGAGUCCCAACUAUCUUAAA